RNAcentral lists this ribosomal RNA (387 nucleotides) under uncultured bacterium. RNAcentral's name for it is "bacterial SSU rRNA". It matches the Rfam family "Bacterial small subunit ribosomal RNA", at positions 29 to 416 of the family's 1533-position model. The record is from RNAcentral.
AUUGAACGCUGGCGGCAUGCUUUACACAUGCAAGUCGAACGGUAACAGGGAGCUUGCUCCGCUGACGAGUGGCGAACGGGUGAGUAAUGCAUCGGAACGUACCCAGUCGUGGGGGAUAACGUAGCGAAAGUUACGCUAAUACCGCAUACGUCCUGAGGGAGAAAGCGGGGGGACCGUAAGGCCUCGCGCGAUUGGAGCGGCCGAUGUCGGAUUAGCUAGUUGGUGGGGUAAAGGCCUACCAAGGCGACGAUCCGUAGCGGGUCUGAGAGGAUGAUCCGCCACACUGGGACUGAGACACGGCCCAGACUCCUACGGGAGGCAGCAGUGGGGAAUUUUGGACAAUGGGGGCAACCCUGAUCCAGCCAUGCCGCGUGAGUGAAGAAGGCC